CCUACGGGUGGCUGCAGUGAGGAAUAUUGGUCAAUGGGCGCGAGCCUGAACCAGCCAAGUAGCGUGAAGGAUGACUGCCCUACGGGUUGUCAACUUCUUUUUUCAAGGAAUAAAGUGAGGCACGUGUGCCCUUUUGUAUGUACUUUAUGAAUAAGAAUCGGCUAACUCCGUUCCAGCAGCCGCGGUAAUACGGAGGAUCCGCGCGUUAUCCGGAUUUAUUGGGGUUAAAGGGAGCGCAGAUGGGUUGUUAAGUCAGUUGUUAAAGUUUGCGGCUCAACCGUCAAAUUGCAAUUGAUACUGGCAGCCUUGAGUACAGUUGAGGUAGGCGGAAUUCGUGGUGUAGCGGUGAAAUGCUUAGAUAUCACGAAGAACUCCGAUUGCGAAGGCAGCUUACUAAACUGCCACUGACAUUGAUGCUCGAAAGUGUGGGUAUCAAACAGGAUUAGAUACCCUUGUAGUC
This 460-nucleotide ribosomal RNA is filed under the name uncultured bacterium. RNAcentral describes it as "partial 16S ribosomal RNA". It matches the Rfam family "Bacterial small subunit ribosomal RNA", at positions 338 to 795 of the family's 1533-position model. The record is from RNAcentral.